RNAcentral lists this ribosomal RNA (440 nucleotides) under uncultured bacterium. RNAcentral describes it as "partial 16S ribosomal RNA". It matches the Rfam family "Bacterial small subunit ribosomal RNA", at positions 338 to 795 of the family's 1533-position model. The record is from RNAcentral.
CCUACGGGAGGCAGCAGUGGGGGAUAUUGCACAAUGGAGGAAACUCUGAUGCAGCGACGCCGCGUGAGGGAAGACGGUCUUCGGAUUGUAAACCUCUGUCUUUGGGGAAGAAAAUGACGGUACCCAAAGAGGAAGCUCCGGCUAACUACGUGCCACCAGCCGCGGUAAUACGUAGGGAGCAAGCGUUGUCCGGAUUUACUGGGUGUAAAGGGUGCGUAGGCGGGAACACAUGUCAGGCGUGAAAUACCGGGGCUCAACUCCGGGGCUGCGCUUGAAACUGUGUUUCUUGAGUGAAGUAGAGGCAGGCGGAAUUCCUAGUGUAGCGGUGGAAUGCGUAGAUAUUAGGAGGAACACCAGUGGCGAAGGCGGCCUGCUGGGCUUUAACUGACGCUGAUGCACGAAAGCAUGGGGAGCAAACAGGAUUAGAUACCCGAGUAGUC